This is a long non-coding RNA of Patella vulgata (common limpet), 738 nucleotides long. RefSeq lists it as uncharacterized. The record is from RefSeq and is a predicted model, not a curated record. Lineage: Eukaryota; Metazoa; Mollusca; Gastropoda; Patellidae. The transcript has 3 exons.
GGGACUUAACUCCUGUCUGUGGCAGUGACCGAGUGACAUACGCAAAUAGUUGUGAAUAUUGUCGACGCAAAUGGAUGAGUGACAAAGAAGGAAGAGCUUGGAAUGUUUAUUUAGAACAUGAUGGCUCAUGUGAUUCGUCACAAUCGCCAUUCCUACCAGCCCCAACAAGGCCUACAUACAGACCAACGUACAGACCAACCAAUGGUGCACCAGCAUUUUUCCAAAAUGUUGUCAGUCACUACUUUCCAGCCUCUUCUCCUUCAACAAGGUUUCCAUUCAACCUUGGAACAAACUUUGGUAGUAGCUAUUCCCAACAAGGAGAUAGCUUUCCUAACACAUUAUGGCAGUUGCUGAAUAAAAAUAUCCAAUCUCCAUACGGAUCACGACAGCAACAACAAGCCCAGACAUACUAUGCACCACAAAGUCAACCAUAUAACGUACAACAGUCAACAGGAAGAACCGCAAAUUGUGGACCAUAUGGUCAAAAAUGUUCUCGUUACGGAAGAGUCUGUGGGUCGAAUGGAUCAUCAUACCUGAGUGAAUGUGAUCUGUGCGUAUCUGCACAACGUCUCAGAACGACGAUACGAAUCGUCAGAGAUGGUUAUUGUUAAUCGUUGCUUGCAUAUGUAUUUUUUCGUGCUGGUCAUGAAACGAGAAGGAAAUAUAAAAAAAAUCAGCUAGAUAGAAGCAUAAAUGGAAUUUGAAUAGGUUUUGUUGUAUUUCCUUUAACAAGACAUU